UACGUAGGGGGCUAGCAUUGUCCGGAAUCAUUGGGCGUAAAGCGCGCGUAGGCGGCCAGAUAAGUCCGGUGUGAAAGUCACAGGCUCAACCUGUGAAUGCCGCUGGAAACUGUCUGGCUUGAGUCCGGAAGGGGCGAGUGGAAUUCCUGGUGUAGCGGUGAAAUGCGCAGAUAUCAGGAGGAACACCAAUGGCGAAGGCAGCUCGCUGGAACGGUACUGACGCUGAGGCGCGAAAGCGUGGGGAGCGAACAGG
Molecule: ribosomal RNA, 253 nt
Filed under: uncultured bacterium
Lineage: Bacteria
Description: partial 16S ribosomal RNA
Rfam family: Bacterial small subunit ribosomal RNA
Source: RNAcentral